AAGCGGUGGAUGAUGUGGAUUAAUUCGAUGCAACGCGAAAACCUUACCUACCCUUGACAUGUCUGGAACCUUGGUGAGAGCCGAGGGUGCCUUCGGGAGCCAGAACACAGGUGCUGCAUGGCUGUCGUCAGCUCGUGUCGUGAGAUGUUGGGUUAAGUCCCGCAACGAGCGCAACCCUUGUCACUAGUUGCCAUCAUUUAGUUGGGCACUCUAGUGAGACUGCCGGUGACAAACCGGAGGAAGGUGGGGAUGACGUCAAGUCCUCAUGGCCCUUAUAGGUGGGGCUACACACGUCAUACAAUGGAUGGUACAAAGGGUCGCCAACCCGCGAGGGGGAGCCAAUCCCAUAAAGCCAUUCGUAGUCCGGAUCGCAGUCUGCAACUCGACUGCGUGAAGUCGGAAUCGCUAGUAAUCGUGGAUCAGAAUGUCACGGUGAAUACGUUCCCGGGUCUU
This 453-nucleotide ribosomal RNA is filed under the name uncultured Thauera sp. RNAcentral's name for it is "bacterial SSU rRNA". It matches the Rfam family "Bacterial small subunit ribosomal RNA", at positions 927 to 1382 of the family's 1533-position model. Lineage: Bacteria; Pseudomonadati; Pseudomonadota; Betaproteobacteria; Rhodocyclales; Zoogloeaceae. The record is from RNAcentral.